Molecule: ribosomal RNA, 472 nt
Filed under: uncultured bacterium
Lineage: Bacteria
Description: bacterial SSU rRNA
Rfam family: Bacterial small subunit ribosomal RNA
Source: RNAcentral
ACUCCUACGGGAGGCAGCAGUGGGGAAUAUUGCACAAUGGGCGCAAGCCUGAUGCAGCCAUGCCGCGUGUAUGAAGAAGGCCUUCGGGUUGUAAAGUACUUUCAGCAGUGAGGAAGGUGGGUAUGUUAAUAGCAUAUUCUAUUUGUACGUUAGCUGCAGAAGAAGCACCGGCUAACUCCGUGCCAGCAGCCGCGGUAAUACGGAGGGUGCGAGCGUUAAUCGGAAUUACUGGGCGUAAAGCGCAUGCAGGUGGUUGUUAAGUCAGAUGUGAAAGCCCGGGGCUCAACCUCGGAAUUGCAUUUGAAACUGGCAAACUAGAGUACUGUAGAGGGGGUAGAAUUUCAGGUGUAGCGGUGAAAUGCGUAGAGAUCUGAAGGAUACCGGUGGCGAAGGCGGCCCCUGGACAGAUACUGACACUCAGAUGCGAAAGCGUGGGAGCAAACAGGAUUAGAUACCCCGUGGUAGGUCAGUC